This 242-nucleotide long non-coding RNA is filed under the name Elaeis guineensis (African oil palm). RNAcentral's name for it is "long non-coding RNA (EGUI_LNC012806)". The record is from RNAcentral. Lineage: Eukaryota; Viridiplantae; Streptophyta; Magnoliopsida; Arecales; Arecaceae.
UGGUGGCGUGUGGGCUAUUCCAAGGCCUUGAGAACAGAUCUCAAGGGUUCUUCUCCUUCCUCUCUGAAGAAGACAUUCAUCCCUCUCUUCUAUAGUGUGUGGUGUGUACGUGAAGUAGAGGAUCCAUGCAUCCGGAUCUCGCAAAGCAUAUUGAUUGAGGAGCUUCUUCAACCUUGAUCCUUUUUCACUAUGAAUCAAGAUGAGAAUACAUUAAUAUUAUAAAAAAUUUUAAUUACUAAUCC